Molecule: ribosomal RNA, 318 nt
Filed under: Pseudo-nitzschia delicatissima
Lineage: Eukaryota; Bacillariophyta; Bacillariophyceae; Bacillariales; Bacillariaceae
Description: eukaryotic LSU rRNA
Source: RNAcentral
GAUCCCCCUCAGCACUGGUCUAUUCUGUAGGCCAGUAGCUGGUUGCUUUGGCCUUGACUGCCUCUGGCUGUCUCUGCUUAAAUUCUACAACACGUACGUGCAUAGAUCUAGAAACGUCCCAGCCCGUUCUGACGACGGCGUUGACAUUCUCAUCUAUCUCUGGUAGCUUUUGUCUCUGGAGUUCAAUUGAGUUUGUUAUCAGCUGUUGGAAGGACUACUGAGUCGACCUCUAAGUCUAGCUUGCAGUUUACUGCUCGCUAUCUAAUUCCGGAUCUCAGAUCAAGCAACCCGCCGAAUAGCAUAUCAAUAAGCGGAGGA